UGAAGACUGAGUUUUCAGUUCAUGUGAGAUCUGAUUGUUUAAAAGAGUGCAGCACUUCCUCCACCUUGCUCCCUCUCUUGCCACUGAUGUGCCUGCUUCCCCUUCACCUUCUGCCUGGAUUGUAAGCUCCCUGAGGCCCUCACCAGAAGCAGAUGCCAGCACCACGCUUCCUAUACAGCCUGCCAAAAUGAGCUCCUGAAUUUCGCAGACAAAUCCAGACCCCUGUGUGGAAAGCCUGCAGUGGUGUUCUCUGUCUUCCCACAGCACUCCCUGCAGCCAGGAAUUCUAGGGGAGCACCUGACACGAGGUAUAUGCCCAGAUGGCCUGAAGUAACUGAAGAAUCACAAAAGAAGUGAAAAUGCCCUGCCCCGCCUUAACUGAUGACAUUCCACCACAGAAGAAGUGAAAAUGGCCGGUCCUUGUCUUAACUGAUGACAUUACACCACAAAAGAAGUGAAAAUGGCCUGUCCUUGCCUUAAGUGAUGAAUUACCUUGUGAAAGUCCUUUUCCUGGCUCAUUCUGGCUCAAAAACCUCCCCAACUGAGCACCUUGUGACCCCCACUCCUGCCCGCCAGGGAACAAUCCCCCUUUGACUGUAAUUUUCCUUUACCUACCCAAAUCUUAUAAAAUGGCCCCACCCCUAUCUCCCUUUGCUGACUCUCUUUUUGGACUCAGCCUGCCUGCAUCCAGGUGAUUAAAAGCUUUUAUUGCUCAC
This 715-nucleotide non-coding RNA is filed under the name Pan troglodytes (chimpanzee). The record is from RNAcentral. Lineage: Eukaryota; Metazoa; Chordata; Mammalia; Primates; Hominidae.